AGUGAACGCUGGCGGUAGGCCUAACACAUGCAAGUCGAACGGCAGCACAGUAAGAGCUUGCUCUUACGGGUGGCGAGUGGCGGACGGGUGAGGAAUACAUCGGAAUCUACUUUUUCGUGGGGGAUAACGUAGGGAAACUUACGCUAAUACCGCAUACGACCUACGGGUGAAAGCAGGGGAUCUUCGGACCUUGCGCGAUUGAAUGAGCCGAUGUCGGAUUAGCUAGUUGGCGGGGUAAAGGCCCACCAAGGCGACGAUCCGUAGCUGGUCUGAGAGGAUGAUCAGCCACACUGGAACUGAGACACGGUCCAGACCCAUACGGGAGGCAGCAGUGGGGAAUAUUGGGCAAUGGGCGCAAGCCUGAUCCAGCCAUACCGCGUGGGUGAAGAAGAUAUUCGGGUUGUAAAGCCCUUUUGUUGGGAAAGAAAAGCAGCAGGUUAAUACCCCGCUGUUCUGACGGUACCCAAAGCAUAAGCACCGGCUAACUUCGUG
RNAcentral lists this ribosomal RNA (492 nucleotides) under uncultured bacterium. Its description in RNAcentral is "partial 16S ribosomal RNA". It matches the Rfam family "Bacterial small subunit ribosomal RNA", at positions 29 to 507 of the family's 1533-position model. The record is from RNAcentral.